UUACGUCUGUAGUAAAAGAGGAUGAGAACCUCCGAAGGAGGUUUGCGCCGAGCGCAGCGAGACAACGUUGCGUAAGCAACGGCCCGCAGGGGAAUAAUCCUCUCUCGCCGACCA
RNAcentral lists this small RNA (114 nucleotides) under Tatumella punctata. Its description in RNAcentral is "RtT sRNA". It matches the Rfam family "RtT RNA". Rfam says of the family: This family represents a bacterial cis-regulatory element known as RtT RNA. RNAcentral also lists the same sequence under 2 other names. The record is from RNAcentral. Lineage: Bacteria; Pseudomonadati; Pseudomonadota; Gammaproteobacteria; Enterobacterales; Erwiniaceae.